AACGGCCGUACCAUGCUGAAUAUACCGGUUCUCGUUAGAUCACCGAAGUUAAGCAUCAUUGGGCGCGGUCAGUACUUGGGUGGGUGACCACCUGGGAGUGC
Molecule: ribosomal RNA, 101 nt
Filed under: Caerostris darwini
Lineage: Eukaryota; Metazoa; Arthropoda; Arachnida; Araneae; Araneidae
Source: RNAcentral